Long non-coding RNA from Balaenoptera ricei (Rice's whale), 191 nucleotides. RefSeq lists it as uncharacterized. Lineage: Eukaryota; Metazoa; Chordata; Mammalia; Artiodactyla; Balaenopteridae. The record is from RefSeq and is a predicted model, not a curated record. The transcript has 3 exons.
GGACAAGAGGAGUGAGCCCUAGCUCUAAGCUUAAGUCAGCCCAAAGGCAGGCAGCACCUUCGGAGGUGGGAGGCCUGCCUGCUGGCUGUCCCCAGGAGGUGCAGAUCUGGAGCCAGUGCUGGUGACUCACUCCCACUCUGCGUUUCCCAGAAGGCAGCUCAGGCAUGCAAGUCAGGUGCAGAGACGCAAAG